CCUACGGGAGGCAGCAGUGAGGAAUAUUGGUCAAUGGACGAGAGUCUGAACCAGCCAAGUAGCGUGAAGGAUGACUGCCCUAUGGGUUGUAAACUUCUUUUAUAAAGGAAUAAAACGAGGCACGUGUGCCUUUUUGCAUGUACUUUAUGAAUAAGGAUCGGCUAACUCCGUGCCAGCAGCCGCGGUAAUACGGAGGAUCCGAGCCUUAUCCGGAUUUAUUGGGUUUAAAGGGAGCGUAGAUGGGUUGUUAAGUCAGUUGUGAAAGUUUGCGGCUCAACCGUAAAAUUGCAAUUGAUACUGGCAGUCGUGAGUACAGUUGAGGUAGGCGGAAUUCGUGGUGUAGCGGUGAAAUGCUUAGAUAUCACGAAGAACCCCGAUUGCGAAGGCAGCUUACUAAACUGUGACUGACAUUGAUGCUCGAAAGUGUGGGUAUCAAACAGGAUUAGAUACCCGUGUAGUC
Molecule: ribosomal RNA, 460 nt
Filed under: uncultured bacterium
Lineage: Bacteria
Description: partial 16S ribosomal RNA
Rfam family: Bacterial small subunit ribosomal RNA
Source: RNAcentral